AUUGAACGCUGGCGGCAUGCCUUACACAUGCAAGUCGAACGGCAGCGCGGGGGCAACCCUGGCGGCGAGUGGCGAACGGGUGAGUAAUAUAUCGGAACGUACCCAAGAGUGGGGGAUAACGUAGCGAAAGUUACGCUAAUACCGCAUACGAUCUAAGGAUGAAAGCAGGGGACCGCAAGGCCUUGUGCUCCUGGAGCGGCCGAUAUCUGAUUAGCUAGUUGGUGGGGUAAAGGCCUACCAAGGCAUCGAUCAGUAGCUGGUCUGAGAGGACGACCAGCCACACUGGGACUGAGACACGGCCCAGCCUCCUACGGGAGGCAGCAGUGGGGAAUUUUGGACAAUGGGGGGCAACCCUGAUCCAGCAAUGCCGCGUGAGUGAAGAAGGCCUCGG
This 391-nucleotide ribosomal RNA is filed under the name uncultured bacterium. RNAcentral's name for it is "bacterial SSU rRNA". It matches the Rfam family "Bacterial small subunit ribosomal RNA", at positions 29 to 420 of the family's 1533-position model. The record is from RNAcentral.